AAAAAAAAAAAAACAUAGAAAUUAAAAACUUCAAAUACCACAUCUGUGGUUUCACACUUUCUCACUUUAGUAUCUUUUGGUUUAAAGUGUAUCAAUUUAGUGCUCUGUGGUUUUAUUUUUAUCUUUUUAUUAUCGAUUCCACUAAUUUUUUUCGUUAAAUUAGUAACAAAAUUAAAACUAACGAAUACUAAAGUGAAUAUUCGAUAAAUCUAGAUGGGUAUCUGAAAUUUUUUUUAUAUAACUUAACAAAAUUAACGAAAAAAGUAUCGAAAAGAUAAAAAUGAAACCACACGACACUAACUUGAUACACUUUAAAUCAUAAAAUACUAAAGUGAGAAAGUGCGAAACUACAGAGGUGGUAUUUGAAGUUUACCCAAAAAAAAUAAUA
This 388-nucleotide long non-coding RNA is filed under the name Ananas comosus (pineapple). RNAcentral describes it as "long non-coding RNA (ACOM_LNC014661)". The record is from RNAcentral. Lineage: Eukaryota; Viridiplantae; Streptophyta; Magnoliopsida; Poales; Bromeliaceae.